UACGUAGGGGGCGUGCGUUGUCCGGAUUCAUUGGGCGUAAAGAGCUCGUAGGCGGCUUGGCAAGUCGGGUGUAAAACCUCCAGGCUCAACCUGGAGAGGCCACCCGAUACUGCCAUGGCUAGAGUCCGGUAGGGGACCACGGAAUUCCUGGUGUAGCGGUGAAAUGCGCAGAUAUCAGGAGGAACACCGGUGGCGAAGGCGGUGGUCUGGGCCGGAACUGACGCUGAGGAGCGAAAGCGUGGGGAGCGAACAGG
Molecule: ribosomal RNA, 254 nt
Filed under: uncultured bacterium
Lineage: Bacteria
Description: partial 16S ribosomal RNA
Rfam family: Bacterial small subunit ribosomal RNA
Source: RNAcentral